AGGGAUCAUUACUGAGUUACCGCUCUAUAACCCUUUGUGAACAUACCUAACCGUUGCUUCGGCGGGCAGGGGAAGCCUCUCGCGGGCCUCCCCUCCCGGCGCCGGCCCCCACCACGGGGACGGGGCGCCCGCCGGAGGAAACCAAACUCUAUUUACACGACGUCUCUUCUGAGUGGCACAAGCAAAUAAUUAAAACUUUUAACAACGGAUCUCUUGGUUCUGGCAUCGAUGAAGAACGCAGCGAAAUGCGAUAAGUCAUGUGAAUUGCAGAAUUCAGUGAAUCAUCGAAUCUUUGAACGCACAUUGCGCUCGCCAGCAUUCUGGCGAGCAUGCCUGUUCGAGCGUCAUUUCAACCCUCAAGCACCGCUUGGUUUUGGGGCCCCACGGCACACGUGGGCCCUUAAAGGUAGUGGCGGACCCUCCCGGAGCCUCCUUUGCGUAGUAACUAACGUCUCGCACUGGGAUCCGGAGGGACUCUUGCCGUAAAACCCCCAAAUUUUUUACAGGUUGACCUCGGAUCAGGUAGGAAUACCCGCUGAACUUAA
RNAcentral lists this ribosomal RNA (545 nucleotides) under Colletotrichum acutatum. RNAcentral describes it as "eukaryotic LSU rRNA". The stretch from base 194 to 347 matches the Rfam family "5.8S ribosomal RNA". Lineage: Eukaryota; Fungi; Ascomycota; Sordariomycetes; Glomerellales; Glomerellaceae. The record is from RNAcentral.